UAACGAUAAUAGCAAACCCGUGCCGAAAGGCCGGGGGCGCAAAGCUGCGGGGCUAAAGAGACACAGGUCUACACGCCGGACGAGCUGCCGAA
This 92-nucleotide non-coding RNA is filed under the name Elusimicrobiota bacterium. Its description in RNAcentral is "Elusimicrobia bacterium c-di-GMP sequence". It matches the Rfam family "c-di-GMP-I riboswitch aptamer". From Rfam's summary of the family: GEMM was predicted in a large-scale screen for bacterial structured RNA regulatory elements. The record is from RNAcentral. Lineage: Bacteria; Pseudomonadati; Elusimicrobiota.